AUAUCUCUCUGUACGGGAAGGAUGAGAAGCUUCGACUAAGGUUCGAUUCGAGCGCAGCGAGAAAGCGUUGCCGCAGGC
RNAcentral lists this small RNA (78 nucleotides) under Salmonella enterica subsp. enterica serovar Berta. Its description in RNAcentral is "partial RtT sRNA". It matches the Rfam family "RtT RNA", at positions 1 to 77 of the family's 130-position model. Rfam says of the family: This family represents a bacterial cis-regulatory element known as RtT RNA. The exact function of RtT is unknown although it is thought that it may be involved in changing the cellular response in relation to amino acid starvation. RNAcentral also lists the same sequence under 3 other names. The record is from RNAcentral. Lineage: Bacteria; Pseudomonadati; Pseudomonadota; Gammaproteobacteria; Enterobacterales; Enterobacteriaceae.